Molecule: transfer RNA, 81 nt
Filed under: Paragonimus skrjabini miyazakii
Lineage: Eukaryota; Metazoa; Platyhelminthes; Trematoda; Plagiorchiida; Troglotrematidae
Description: Paragonimus miyazakii tRNA-Asn
Rfam family: tRNA
About the family: Transfer RNA (tRNA) molecules are approximately 80 nucleotides in length.
Source: RNAcentral
GGCUUCAUAGCUCAGGCGGUACAGCGCUUGCCGCGUUGAGGCGUGGUGUUUUCGUCGCUGGUUCGAAUCCAGCCGAAGCCC